This 433-nucleotide ribosomal RNA is filed under the name uncultured bacterium. RNAcentral describes it as "partial 16S ribosomal RNA". It matches the Rfam family "Bacterial small subunit ribosomal RNA", at positions 29 to 507 of the family's 1533-position model. The record is from RNAcentral.
AACGAACGCUGGCGGCAUGCCUAACACAUGCAAGUCGAACGAGACCUUCGGGUCUAGUGGCGCACGGGUGCGUAACGCGUGGGAACCUGCCCUUAGGUUCGGAAUAACUCCCCGAAAGGGGUGCUAAUACCGGAUAAUGUCUUCGGACCAAAGAUUUAUCGCCUUUGGAUGGGCCCGCGUUGGAUUAGCUAGUUGGUAGGGUAAAAGCCUACCAAGGCGACGAUCCAUAGCUGGUCCGAGAGGAUGAUCAGCCACACUGGGACUGAGACACGGCCCAGACUCCUACGGGAGGCAGCAGUGGGGAAUAUUGGACAAUGGGCGAAAGCCUGAUCCAGCAAUGCUGCGUGAGUGAUGAAGGCCUUAGGGUUGUAAAGCUCUUUUACCCGGGAUGAUAAUGACAGUACCGGGAGAAUAAGCUCCGGCUAACUCCGUG